UACGUAGGGUGCAAGCGUUGUCCGGAAUUAUUGGGCGUAAAGAGCUCGUAGGCGGUCUGUCGCGUCGGCUGUGAAAACCCGGAGCUCAACUCCGGGCCUGCAGUCGAUACGGGCAGACUGGAGUUCGGCAGGGGAGACUGGAAUUCCUGGUGUAGCGGUGAAAUGCGCAGAUAUCAGGAGGAACACCGGUGGCGAAGGCGGGUCUCUGGGCCGCAACUGACGCUGAGGAGCGAAAGCAUGGGGAGCGAACAGG
This 253-nucleotide ribosomal RNA is filed under the name uncultured bacterium. Its description in RNAcentral is "partial 16S ribosomal RNA". It matches the Rfam family "Bacterial small subunit ribosomal RNA", at positions 524 to 776 of the family's 1533-position model. The record is from RNAcentral.